Molecule: long non-coding RNA, 428 nt
Organism: Formica exsecta
Lineage: Eukaryota; Metazoa; Arthropoda; Insecta; Hymenoptera; Formicidae
Exons: 3
Source: RefSeq, a predicted model, not a curated record
CUGUCUCUCAAGAUACGACACUCUCAUUAUUAAUAUUCUCUUAACUGCAAAACGGUUAUAAAUAUAGCCGUCUGAGAUUGUUGUUAUUAGUUCACAAAGAUUUGUUUUACUGGCACAUAUAUCUGCUUGAAGAUAUUUGCUUGAAGAUACCAUUUCAAACAUUUGAGUAGUGUUUCAACUGAUCGUCGCAUCAAUAAUUUUAUUAGAGGAACUAUGGAUACUGUUGCAUAGCCUAUGUGAUACAUAUUAUCCUAUUUAUAAAUUUUGGAGUUUCUACACGUAUGCUGUGUCUAUCCGUCAUCCUGAUGAUUUGGAGACGAUACUAAACAGUACCAAGCACAUCGAGAAAGGUCUUCCGUAUAACAUGUUACAUUCAUGGCUCGGUACAGGACUUCUCACGAGCACAGGUAACAUAAUGGCAUUAAUAU